UCCCCGCAUGGAUAACCCCUCCUUAACCACCUUCCCCUCUCUCUUUUUCUCAAUCCAAGCUUUUCAUUUUUAAUUUUUUUUUUGUGUAGAAGAAAUGGGGAAGAAGUAGAACGACAUCCAGAAAACGGGGCUAGGUCGAGCCCUGCUAUCUCGCUUCUACAGGAAGAAGUUCCUUGAAUCCUUCAACGAAGUCUCCGACAUCGACGCCGUCGUCGAGCAAUCCCUAGAACCCCUCCCCAAACUCGCCGUUGCCGCUUCAACCACUCUUAUCAGCCUCGAACCAGGUUCCGUCCCUGAUGAAACGACGACCCCAGAAGAAGCGAGGAAGCAGCAGAAGCAAGAGGAGAUUGAACACUAGUGGAACGUGACAAUUUUCUUUUGAAAAAACUAGUUUUCUCUAAUUAUGCAUUUUAAUUUAUGCCUGGCCUUGUUUUGUAAUUUGAGUGGGGAGUUUUUGGUGUUUUGUUACAUGGAUUAGUUGGUAAAUUAAAUUUUCACGAGUAUAACUUUUAGUGGCUUGAAAAGUGAAAACCAAUCAAUAUUAAGAAAACAUCUGCUUCAAAAUCUUACUCCUUUUAUUCAAGUAUUUUAUCUCAUGAAUGUAUUAUGUGUAUUUCUUCUAUAAUUAAACUUCAGACUGUCAAGAGACCUCACACUAGCUAUGAAUAUAGCCAAAAUACUCUUUUACAAAACUUGGGCAAUCCUCUCCAUCUUGAGCUCGUUUUUGGCUCGAGUUAGGUUCAAUCCAUUUCUAAUAUGGUAUCAAGCCUCAAGCCUAUCUAGUCUUGAGUUUGGGCCACUGUAGAUGUGUAUUUCUGCAAAUUUCACACUUCUAAUUUCCGGUUUUGGGCAUAAGGGUGUGUGUUAAGGUGUUUCAAGGCUAAAAGUUUAAAAUCCUGUUUAACUGGUCCUCUAUACAACUUGUUUUGGUUCUGGGGUUUCUCUGCAUACCUUUCUGAGUCUUUUAUCAUGUUAUGGACUGGCCACUGUCUUCUUUUUUGUUUGGUUAAGGACUUCAAUUUGUAUAAUUUCUUUGUCCUUAUUUAUGCUUUCUUCAAAGCCUUGUAAGUAUUAGUGAUGAAGUUACUCACAUACAUAUUUGCUACAUCUUCUCCAGAAGCUGUCUUAUUUUCUAACAAUGUAUAAUGGAAUUUAUAUCUUGGAUUGGGAACAGUCCUUUAAUGGAUUUAUUCUACUUAUGCAUAGGUUGGUGUACUUAUUGGCAAGGCUGGAGAUACUAUACGAUACCUGCAGUAUAAUUCAGGCGCAAAGAUUCAGAUCACGAGGGAUGCUGAUGCUGAUCCUCUCUGUGCAACAAGGCUGAUGCUGGGGUUCUCCUUCACUUGUAGCUCGAGGCCUCUCCCCUGCUCAAGCUACUGUGGGAUCUGAACAAAUUCAGAUACAAGUUCCAAAUGAAAAGGUUGGAUUAAUCAUAGGGAGAAGUGGGGAAACAAUUAAAAGCCUACAGACCAAAUCCGGGGUGCGCAUCCAGGUAUUGAUACCUCAACAUCUUUCAGAAGGGGAUGAUUCCAAAGAAAGGACUGUCCAAGUUACUGGUGAUAAGAGGCAAAUUCAAAUUGCACAAGAAUUGAUAAAGGAAGUCAUGAAUCAGGUUUGUUUGACUAUACAUGCUUAUGCUGAGAAUUUUUACAAUUUUAAAGUUCAGAUAUCAUUGGUGCUUAUCUGUUUAGUAUAGUUUUUAUAUUAAUGCUCACAAUUCUGCAUUCUUUUGAUAUUUGUUAUGUGAUUUUAUAUCAAGAUAUUUGCAUGCAUUGAAUAUGGCCUCCCCUCCUCUCAAAAGAUUAAACUAGUUAUCAGUGUCUUAACUUAAAAUAUUGGAUAAAACACUUAGGUGAAGUUGGAUGUGAUUAGUUUAAUUAAUAUAUGUUGAUGUUUUGAUGGGGUUUUUUCUCCACUUCUCCCCCGUUUUCAUUCAAGGGAGAUAAGGCUUCCCUUAUUUCCUUCUCGGCUUUACAUUGUAUUCUGUGUUUUAAGGAGCUUUUGAUUUGAGAAUCUUGUUUUCCAGGAUAAUGGGUCAUGGUGAUUGUUGUUUCCAUAGUGAUUAUUUAUCCAUAUAAUUUUGGUUGACAUUCAGCUUGAUAACAUUAUUAGUAAUCUAUGGUAAUUAUGUUAUGCUUGAUUGAGUUUGAUUAGUUUUAAAAUUUCUCUACUAGUAAUUCAAAAUAAUCAGACUCAAGACAAAUUUGUUCAAUUUUUGUUAAUUUUUAGUCUUGCUAAUGUUUAUGAACAAAAUUAUUUGGUGAUCUUAAGGCUUGGUUUAGUUUUCCUCUGCUGCUCAUAACAUAAAUUAAGUCAUUACAAAUCAUUGUGCUAACUGAUUGAGAUUUCUGUGAAAAGGCCAGGAAUUUUAAACUUGCUGCCAAUUGAAUUUCAGCACAAGGUAGGAGUGUUUUUUCUUUGUACACACCCAGGAUUAACGGGAUCUUGCCUAAGGAGUGUGUUAGAUUUGGUACUUGGCAGUUUGGAUUAUCAGAUGCAAUUAUACAAAGAUACUAAUAUUAAUCUUACUUAGGGGGUUUACAAGUUUCAAAAUUUUCCUAGUUGUACCUUAUGGCAAUUAAUCUCACAUGGCUAUUAAUUAUUAAUUGCCAUCUUACAUGGUUACAUUUUCAUGAUUGGUGUUAUGUAUCUUGAACUAUAUGCUUAUUAUUUUCUGUUGAUCCAUGUAUUUUGGUUUUGAGGAAGUAAUCUAGUCAUUAUUGCUCGGAAUCAAACAAAGUGGUAAUUAUGAGACCUGUCAUCCUAAUGCUUUUUUUUUUACUCUGAAGUAUGUUCAUUUAAGGGAGUUUGCUUUAAUUAUUUUGAGGAAACUGUAAUAAUAAAUAAAUGAGGCAUAUUAUAUCUUCAUUAAGUAAAUGAUUUUUUGAAAAUCAAAAUGUCUCUUUGACUCAGGAUGAGCUGAUUAGGCUAUGUAAGUGCCAAGGAAAUUUGGUAAACAUUUUGGCUGCUCUCAAUGUAUUAAAAUCAAAGUCUUAGUUUUUUUUUCCCAUUUUUCUGUUGGGAACCACCACUGAAACUGAAAAUGUAUCAUUUAACAAUAUCAUGUUAAUGCCUAGGAAAGGCUAUGGGAUUAGCUAUCUUCUGGUUAUAUAUGAUGAAUUGGGCAAUGUAUCACUGCUUCACCCCAGGCUCUUUUAACAUGGUUUUGUUAUGGUAUCUGUAUUCGGUAUGUUGUAACUUUGCACAUAUCAGACUGCUGGUUCUCUUGUGAUAGUUUCCCAAGAUUUGUAGUUUUAUUACUAAUUUUAUAUUCUUUUGUAUGCAUACUCACUUAUAUAUGUAGUUGAUUUUUUUUUCGAACUUACAUAUUAAUUCAUGAGUUUUU
This is a long non-coding RNA of Glycine soja, 3346 nucleotides long. RefSeq lists it as uncharacterized. The transcript has 5 exons. NCBI's taxonomy places the organism in Eukaryota, Viridiplantae, Streptophyta, Magnoliopsida, Fabales, Fabaceae. The record is from RefSeq and is a predicted model, not a curated record.